CAUGCUUGCUGCUUUUGCACUCUCUUACACUGCUUCAACAGAUCUGCUUGAUCUAUAAAAACUCAUUCUAUACCCUUGCAACAACACACACUCUCUUCUCCUCUUUCUCUUUCUCUUUCUUUCUCUUUCUCAUUUAUACACUUGCAUCUGAAUGCACUGCUCUCUUUCUCUGCAGAGAGACAGUAUCAUCUUAUUCAAUUCUUAUCUCUUUUUUCUUUCUGUAUCUGUGGAGUCAUCAAAGCAAUAUCUUCUGAUAAUCUGACAGACUGUCAUUUUAUUGAUUUCUGAGUCAUUCACAUCAUCUUUCAUGAUAUUACUUCACUUGAUCUGAAGCUGUACUUCACCACUUUCUGAGACACACCACUUUCUGAGACACUAAGUCACAUGAUAUAAAACUCUAUAUAGAACUUACUUGACUUCAUUAUAUAGACUACUGAUUUCAGACAUCAAUAUAGAGAUGCAAGUUAUGUCUAGAUAUCAUACACAGACUCUGUAUGACUGAAGUAAAUAGAAAUUAUACAUAUCUGUCUACUGCUCUGUCAGAAAAAGAAUAAAAAAAGAAAAAAAAAGAUUAUAUAUAUCAGAGAGAGAAGCUAUUUCAGAACUAUAGAAACAGCAGAUAUUAAAUCAGCUGUAAGCAACUGCUGCUCAGAAGAAGGCUCUAUCUACUGUUGAGAGUCAUUCUCAUCAUUAUCAUCAUUUAAGUCUAUUAUCUCUAUACCCUCAUCUUAUAUAGAGCAGUGAGCAGCAUGAUCUCAUCACUUACAGUUGUCACAGACUUCAUCAAAGUGGUC
This 794-nucleotide small RNA is filed under the name Histoplasma capsulatum var. duboisii H88. Its description in RNAcentral is "Histoplasma capsulatum H88 hypothetical RNA". The record is from RNAcentral. Lineage: Eukaryota; Fungi; Ascomycota; Eurotiomycetes; Onygenales; Ajellomycetaceae.